AUUGAACGCUGGCGGAAUGCUUUACACAUGCAAGUCGAACGGCAGCACGGGAGCUUGCUCCUGGUGGCGAGUGGCGAACGGGUGAGUAAUGCGUCGGAACGUGCCGAGUAAUGGGGGAUAACGCAGCGAAAGUUGUGCUAAUACCGCAUACGCCCUGAGGGGGAAAGUGGGGGAUCGCAAGACCUCACGUUAUUCGAGCGGCCGACGUCUGAUUAGCUAGUUGGUGGGGUAAAGGCCUACCAAGGCGACGAUCAGUAGCGGGUCUGAGAGGAUGAUCCGCCACACUGGGACUGAGACACGGCCCAGACUCCUACGGGAGGCAGCAGUGGGGAAUUUUUGGACAAUGGGGGCGAACCCUGAUCCAGCCAUUCCGCGUGAGUGAAGAAGGCCUCGUGUAGUA
RNAcentral lists this ribosomal RNA (400 nucleotides) under uncultured bacterium. RNAcentral describes it as "bacterial SSU rRNA". It matches the Rfam family "Bacterial small subunit ribosomal RNA", at positions 30 to 427 of the family's 1533-position model. The record is from RNAcentral.